RNAcentral lists this ribosomal RNA (537 nucleotides) under Chloridium sp. A6-2. Its description in RNAcentral is "eukaryotic LSU rRNA". It matches the Rfam family "Eukaryotic large subunit ribosomal RNA", at positions 58 to 606 of the family's 3401-position model. The record is from RNAcentral. Lineage: Eukaryota; Fungi; Ascomycota; Sordariomycetes; Chaetosphaeriales; Chaetosphaeriaceae.
AAAGAAACCAACAGGGAUUGCCUCAGUAACGGCGAGUGAAGCGGCAACAGCUCAAAUUUGAAAUCUGGCCUCUGGCCCGAGUUGUAAUUUGCAGAGGAUGCUUCGGGCGCGGUGCCUUCCAAGUCCCCUGGAACGGGGCGCCGGAGAGGGUGAGAGCCCCGUACGGUUGGCGGCCAAGCCUGUGUGAAGCUCCUUCGACGAGUCGAGUAGUUUGGGAAUGCUGCUCUAAGCGGGAGGUAGACCCCUUCUAAAGCUAAAUACCGGCCAGAGACCGAUAGCGCACAAGUAGAGUGAUCGAAAGAUGAAAAGCACUUUGAAAAGAGGGUUAAACAGCACGUGAAAUUGUUGAAAGGGAAGCGCUUGCGACCAGACGUGCGCCGGGGUGCUCAGCGGGCGUUCUCGCCCGUGCACUCGCCCCGGCGCAGGCCAGCGUCGGUUUGGGUGGGGGGAUAAAGGCGUCUGGAAUGUGGCUCCUCCGGGAGUGUUAUAGCCAGGCGUGCCAUGCCUCCGCCUAGACCGAGGUACGCGUCUGCAAGA